Molecule: ribosomal RNA, 262 nt
Filed under: Pseudoclavibacter sp.
Lineage: Bacteria; Bacillati; Actinomycetota; Actinomycetes; Micrococcales; Microbacteriaceae
Description: partial 16S ribosomal RNA
Rfam family: Bacterial small subunit ribosomal RNA
Source: RNAcentral
UCCAAUGNCGGGUNCAAUGGGCUNCAAUACCGCGGGGUGGAGGAAAUCCCAAAAAGCCAGUCUCAGUUGGGUUUGGGGUCUGCANCUCGCCCCCAUGAAGUCGGAGUCGUUAGUAAUCGCAGAUCAGCAACGCUGCGGUGAAUNCGUUCCCGGNCCUUGUACACACCGCCCGUCAAGUCAUGAAAGUCGGUAACACCCGAAGCCGGUGGCCUAACCUUUUGGAGGGAGCCGUCGAAGGUGGGAUCGGUAAUUAGGACUAAGU